Anas platyrhynchos (mallard) is the source of this 11231-nucleotide long non-coding RNA. RefSeq lists it as uncharacterized. Lineage: Eukaryota; Metazoa; Chordata; Aves; Anseriformes; Anatidae. The record is from RefSeq and is a predicted model, not a curated record.
GACAGGGAGAUCGCUGCAAUGACCGCCACAGGCAAAACAGACUUGACUCAGGGAAGAAUGAUUUAAUUUUUAUGCUGGAUAAAAAUGGAGUAGGAUGAUGAGAAACAAAAACUGGCUGCAGCUUCCUUCAGGCCGUACCCAGGUGGUGUGGGGUCCUCCCAGCUGCAGCGUGGGUGGGUCUCUGCCCCAGGUUCCUGUCCUCAGCAUGGGCUGCAGCAACCUCUGCCCCGGCACCCGGAGCUCCUCUGCCUUCCCCCUUCACCAACCUCGCUGCCUGCAGGGCUGUUGCGCUCACUUUUCUUCUUGCUCCUCUCUCUCAAAGCUGCCACACAGAGUUUUUUACACCUCCUUAAUUACGUUAUCACAGAGGCACCACCAGCUCUGCUGCUGGGCUCAGCCUUGGCCAGCAGUGGGUCCGUUUGGGGACUGGCUGGGUCUGAGUCCGACCCUGCCCUGCCCCGUGCCCGCCUGCCCAGCCUGGUUCCUGGGGCCAAGCAGGAGCCUCCACAGCCUCGGGGGUAAAGCAGGGGCAGCUCUGGCUGAGGGAGGGAUGCCUUUCAGUGCAAAGGCAUCGGCACAGCGAGUUACAGCAGCUGGUACCCAUCCUGCCUCUGCCAGCUUUGUGGUGCUUUGACACAGGUGGGGUGGUGAUCGCAUGGCCAAAGUGGUGUUUUCCAGCCCUUGUGACCCCCCUGCCAUGAAAAGGUGUGGGCAGUGAGUAGAUCCUGCAAACCUGUGCUCCUUCAGUGCAAGGGUCCGGAUGGCCCAGGAAAGGGGUUACAGCCAGAUGUGGGUCUAAGAACCUGGGCUCACUGCAGGCUGUGAUUUUGAAUAAGGGGAAAAUACAGUAAAAACACACAAAUACUCUACCAGCCUUUGUGCUUCCUCUGAUGAGCUGAAUGAGAACAGAAGAAAUGUUCAGGUCCUCCCAUCCAGACACCCUGUACUACAGUAGUCAGCGGUGGGGCCAUAAGCACAUGCCACACCAAGGGAGAAAGCCAGGAGCUGCACAAGGAGGGGAGAAAAGUCAGGAAAGGGAGAUGGAGAGACUAGGUCUUGGGUUCAGUGAUCAGGAGAUGGGGAGAUACCUGGGGUAGAGCUGUCUUUGGCCCUGAGGAAGGCCCCAACCCAGCAUGGGACCUCAGGACUCAGCCCUGCCAUGCCCAGCCCCAGCCCCUGGGUCACCACCACCUGUGCCGUGGGUCAUCCCCAGUGCAUGGGGCUGGGCCGGGAGGCACCAAGCACCUCGUGCAUCCCUGCAGGGUGGCUGUCCCCAGGCCCCUUCCCAGCCCACGUUCAUCCCACCUGGUCCUGGGCAGCCACUGCUGCUUCCUCAAUGCUUCCUCAGGCAUCACCAUCCUCGCAGUCAGAAAUGGUCUUCACACGUCUAAGCUUUGCUGUAUGCAGUGCGCUCCAGCCAUUUAUUCCAAGACCCUGCACACCCUGAACCACACAGGUACCCUCGUGCUGGGAGCUGCGUGGAGACAUUGAAGCACCUGAGAUGGAGCCAGGUUCUGCCUAGCACCAGCAAUGCCAACAUCCCACGAGGAAAGCUGUUCUUGCUGUACUUUUGGAAGCUGGGACUUCCAAAAUGAGAAGCUGAGCAUUUCGGUUUUCGGACCCAUUUUUUGUUGCGACUUGGAUAGUUCACCCAAGUACCGAUGCUGAAAGAAGCCUGCAUGCCUCUUGCAGCAGUGACAGCUGGCGCAUGUCUCCACUGAAUCAGCAGGUCAGUGGGGACUAACAACUCCAUUCAUGAGGAACCAUCUCAGAUGGGUGUCAAAAUCACCAUUGCUGGCUCAUGCCCUGAGUGUUUGGCCUGUUUGCAUGCAUACGUUCAUUGCUCCUGCUUUGCUCUCUGCUCCAGUACGUGCAUCCAGCAGGCAUUUCCUCCAUCAUCAGCACAGGAGUUUGUCCAUACUGGGCUUGAGCUCAGUGCAGCCAGCGACGAUAGUUUGCAUCGGGUUUGGGCUUCUAGAUUGAUUGCAUUUGACCCACUGCUCUUCUUCCCACUUCUCACACACUGCUGCUGACAGCAUCACUGCCUGGAGGAGCGAUCUGUAAGCUGCUUCUGAAUUAGAGAAGAAAGCAGAAACCCCAGCAAAGCAAAUGAGCCAGCCAGGCAGCCCUGCUGCUGAAAGUGUCCUUUAGCCAAAGGGAACCAAUUUUUCACUUAACGGUUACAAAUGUUUCAAGAAUGCCAGGAGAAGUGGAUUAGAAGGUGAGACAUGUUCCUGAAAUGUGUGAAGGACACUGAUAAUUAAUAAGAGCUUUGCCAAGGAGACUGAGAGCUACUAUGGGGAAACUCAAGACAUCCUUAACACUGCAGAUGAUGAGUAUCAAACAGUAACAAUAACAAGGCAGCAAACAGGUCUUCCAAUAUUGCUAUCUAGCACCAGACAAAACUAAGAUAGGCUGCAGGCAACUUCUCAGGCUGCUCUAUUAAAUCAAAGUACAUUUGUUUUUUUAUGUUGGUCCGCUUGUUCCAUAGUCAUCUGGGCUGUCUGGUCCAAAAUGAAAGUCCAGGUCUAUAAAAAAAAAUGCUGAAUUUCCAGAAAUGACCAGACAAUGCUGUAUAUGUGCAAAUGCUUGAUACUACUAUUACUGAAGCUGUGCCAUGUAGGGAAAGAAGAGAGUAAGAGCAGAUCUUCGACUGGCUACACUGUGCAGGCUUGUGUACAGCGGGGUGCUGUGGGAGGGCUGCGAUGCCUGGUGCUAUGGCAGGCACAGAAUAAAUGGUGCUCAGUAGGUUGGGUUUGCUCUGAGGUGACAGUUGCUGCAUACAAAGAGGAGACAACUGGAAAAAAAAUGGCUGUGAGAUACACCAGCAGCACUUCCCACAACGAGUUCCCCUACAGAAAAAUGAAGAGCUUGCACUGUGCAGAAGAGAGAAAAAACAGCUUUGUCCAACACUGAACCAACAGUAACUGCUGGGAUUAAGCAGCGUGUAUUGUGUGGCAGCACACAACAAAACAGCUUAGAAAAGGAGAAAUUUAUGCUAAGCAAUCAGAGAACAAAUGCACAAUUAGGAGGGUGGACAGGGCAGAAGCUGCACUGUGUUCGUGUAUGGAUCAUGCCCCUGGGCUGGGCUCUGCCCCACACUGCUCAGCUCACCACAGGUGUUUUGGAAGUGCUGACUUCUGCACCACUGUCAGAAUUGACAUGAUGCUCAGAGGCAUAAGGUGUUUUUGUCAUCACUUGGCUGGUUUUAAUUGCUUCAGUACAAUUUGGGAAGUCCCACCUUUAUGCCUCUCUUACCUUUAUCGUGGAGUUACAUUAAGAUUUACAUUAAGCAGAGUUGUUGUAGAGUAUAAAUAGCAGAAUAUGGGGCUCUGUUUAGGAGCAUAAUGGUGGUUUUGGGGACUGCACUUCCCUUUGUGCUAAAUGAAGCCAGAAGAGCAGAGCAAGCAGGAUCUUUCCCAUCCUGCAGUGUGCUUGUCUGUGAGAUUUGAACCAAAAUGACAAUGCCUGCAAAAGCUAUGUGAUCAGAGAACACAAAAGAAAGAAAAAGCCAAAUGAAGUCAGAAAAAACAUUUCAUUUUGAUAAUCAUGGAAUAAUCUUUGGGUUUUCAUUCUGACCUCUGUUAAAUCAGGUUAAGUUUGUUGCUGUCUUUUAGCUCAUAUUUAGAAACUGGAAGUUGCUGUGACAUCAGGACCAGGACAUUCUUAUUUGGAAGACAAUUAACAUUAACCAAGCAAUUUUUUCCCCAGUGAGAAAUUCACAUAAGGCAGGAUAAAUUCAUCUGUGCAGGUAAAAGUUUGAUUUGUCAAACUGACAGUUUCUAAGGAGAAGUAAAAAUUACAAAUUAAGCUGCCAGAAAUCAUUGUGUUCUGUUCAUUGCCAGAAAUCAACAAGGUACUGGGGCUGACACGCAGGCUGGCCACAUCUAAAGAUGCAGCCAUCGACACCAGUCUGCCUGGCAGCGCUGCCCAGUGACUUGCAGGCCCCCAAGCAGCUGCACACCCAAAGAAUCUGGUUUUCAGGAUUUUACAACCUCCCCACAGCUUGUAGGAACUGGAGUCCUUCUGAAGUCCAUCCCCUCUGCCCUCCAAAGCCGACGGCUCAGAUUAUCUCACAUUAGCUGAGAGCAUCGGUGACUGUGAGACUUCUUUUGGUUGUCAUGGAUCUUUACUGACAAUUCUAAAGCCCUGAAGAAAGUUGGUGAAUAUUUAAUUCAACCAGAGACAGAAACACAUUAGCAAGCUCCCCUCCACUGUUGCACUUCAGUUCAGUAAGUCAAGAGCAGAGCACAUGAAAAAUCAACAUUUGUGAAUCCAAGACUGAAAAGAUGUGAAGAAAUAAUGUUUUAUGAACAAGCUCCUCAUGCAUUAGACUAAGACCAAAAAGGCCAACCCUUCCCGGACCAAGGACCAUGAUUUGGGUACAGACACACUUUUUGGUAGAGAUACUUUUUUUGUAGUGCUCUUAUGCAAAGGGGGACAACAGCAGAGAGGCUGGGACCCCCCUCAACCCACUUGCAUCAUCCAGGACAAACAGAAUCAACUUUCUAUUUGCAACAAAAGAAUUGAGCUUUGUCUUCCUGACUACACAGCUGUUUCCAAAGGCCAUGCUGGAGAUGUAGUCAUUGGAGAUGAUUUCAACAAUUUCUCUCAAACACCAUUGUUUUGGCAGAGAUGGACAGCAAGACACACUGCAAAAUGGGACCUAAGUGGUGUAGCAGAGAUGCAUGAAGCUGCUUUCCAAGAACACAGUGGUGCGUCCAGCUUCAGGUCAUGUGUGUCUCCAGGACAGGGACAUACAAGCAACAAAUGCAAGUGAAUGGAAGUUUUGUUCAAACCUUCCAUGCAGCCUAUCAGUCUGUGUGGGUCAUGCCAAAACCACGUUAACUGGCCAUUUUCUUUGCUUGCCUUUCCAUACUGAGUUUCAGCCCACCAGAAGCUCUGCAGAAGCUGAAGCCUUUGCUGCCAGAAGAGCCCAGGUACCUUUUGGCAUGAAGGCAUGCUUGCCCCUGGGUCUGGCUCAGUUGUGUGCUCCCCUAUGCUCUUCCCAAAUCUCAGCAUUUGCUGCAUUGAGCAUGAACUGCUUUCUCCCUGGACCCAACAUGAGUCAAACAGGUGACAUCUGCUGAAUGUUUUCACUAGAACUUCAAGCAACUCCCACUUUUAUGUUUUUUAAAUCAUAUUCAUGCUGCUAAGCUGCUGGUGACUCAGAUCAUAGUAAGGCCAUUGAAAGCUUUUCAUAGGAACCAGGUAAUGGUCUUUCUUGUUCCACGCUACAUACGUACAUGCUUAUGUGGUGUAAAAUGUACCACAGCUUCACUCCUGAAGAGCUGCUGGAAGGAGGGCAACCUUCCCAUGGGCACACGACCAGUCUGUAAUACAUUUUUCAUUCCCUCUUUUGAGUUGCCAGAGAAGAGAGAAAGAAGAGAGAAAAAAGGAAGAUGUCUUGACAAUACAAAAUUCAAGCUUGUUGAGUUUAAUUAUAAGUAUUUUGGGCUCUGCAAAUACCUCCACCUUUAGUAACAAAGCAGCCAAUAUUCAGGAGCUUCUGCCAAGUUUCAACUGGCUGAGCAGUGCUGCAUAGCCUGCUCUUGCAUUAGGAGCCACAUCUACUGUCACCUGGAACUUAUCAGCUGAAGGCUCUCAUUGUGACUGCUAAACCCUAUUUCCAGUCAAUAAAAUACAGAGGGAAGCAUUUAGGAGCUAGCUAGGCUCCUCUGAAAGCUUUUUUACUUGGAAAGAACAGAGCUCUCCAAGGAAGCCUUCACAGUCUCUAUGUCCAAGGGAGCAAGAAGAUGACAUGAGGUCUUUGCGGUUGUCUCCACGUAAGACUGGUGUUUGCUUACUUAUAACUCCUCUGACACCUUGAAAGCUUCAGUUUAAGCAAACGUAGACCUCAAUGCAGCCUCAAUAGAGUCAAAACUAGACUUCGGACUCAAGUACUUCAGGAUCACCUACAGGUCUGGGCACUGAGCUGUAGCCCUGUUCUAUCAACAUUUCUUGGCACAAGCUUUCCAUGUUAUCUUUACUGCCAGUAGUAGGAGCCAUAGCCAAUCUGUUUAGCAUUAAGAAUGGCUGUUGGCUGUGAAAUGUGUGAUUUGCAGUCUGCAGAUGAAAUUCAGCCCUGCAGCCUUUUCUUUCAUUUUCUUUCAUUUACUGGGCAGAGCUGCAUCUUACUGGGGAAAGCAUCACAGGAAGAAUCAGGACUGUGCCUGGCUGUGGCUGGGUUGCUAGAAGUAUGAGAUCCCAGUCACAGUGCUGAUGGUGAUGCCAAUGGGGAAGCACGGGAUGGCUAACAAAGCUUCCUGGGCUCCUGAGCACUGCGGGCUCACCGUCCACUGGAAAAUACCAACAAAACAUGUGAGAGUAUCCAGUGGUUAAUGCAGAGCCAUCUCCUGGGGCUGGCUCAGCACAUCCAUGUUGUUCACAGGUUGCAGCACUGGGGCUGGUGCUGUGGUUCCAUCACCAGCAACAAUCACAGCAACCACAGCAUGUAGCAAAUCCCUCCCUUAAUGCUAUCCCAUUUCUUUUUGCUUCAGCCUUGGCUAAGACUUGUUCCCAGGUGGUGGUUUGUGGCAACUUACUAGGACACAGAAUUUGCUGAACCACAGAACAACAGGAAAGGUAUAAGGAAUCCCAAGAAAUCACUAGUCUCAAUAAAUUUGAAAUUGAUUGUAUAAAAAUAAAAAGUGACUGCUUAAAUUAGAGUUUUCUGUUGACUCUAGGAAGAUUAAUUAGUUUUUUCCCACACAUUUAGAUGCUAAUGUUGAAAUCUGUCAUGCUGGUGCCAUCCUGGGUCAGUGGUGGGGUUCAAAGGUCUACAAGAUAUAAAUUCUUUAGGGAAUAUUGAAUACUGACAUAAGAAAUCAUGAAUACUGAAAGAUGAAGUACUUGCUUUCAAGGAAUGUAAGUGCUCGUGAUCUCCGCUGAUGGCAGUGGGAGCUAUGGAGCCUGAACUGCCAAAACUCACACUAGCACAGCUGUAAUUUGCUUUUUUCUCAUAGCGCUUUACAAAAAAGAGACACAGCUAUUAAAGGAUUUGCUUAAAGGGAGACAAAGUAGAAAUGCCAGGCUGGACUCCUCACAUCAAUCCACAAGCUCUGCUUUUUGUUUUGUUAGUUAAAAACUGCUAUCUAGUGCUGCCCUCCAAUGCCAGAAGUAAGGAUGGUAUUGCCCCAAGAGCAAAUUGCUUGCUUUUAUUGCUCCCUAAACUGCCAUAUUAGCUUUGGGAAGAAGCUCUCCUACACGUGGAAUCUAUGGAUGGAUGUGUUUCUAUGUGUGAACAGGUCAAAAGUAGAUGUCAGGCAAAUACCUUACCUUUAGUGCCAGAUGGAAGAGAGACACUGACUGAAUAAUGUGCCAAGUUGUUUUCUGAAGUCUUGUCAACUUGUAGCACACAAAACACUCGCUAUCAAGAAUUUCCACAGCUUAAUACCACGUUUCAGGAGAAAUCCUCUCCUUUUUCUUUUUUCUUGAUCCUUUUUCUGAAACCACCUUUUAUCAUUUCAUUUGUGUCCUUCUCAGAUCGUUAUCAUUCUUCAGACUUCAAACAUACCCUCCCAGUUAUCUGUUUUCCUGCCUGACAUCCAGUUGAGGAGCCACCACCCCUGAAAUUUGUGGUCUUUCUCCUUGCCAUUCUCUGAUUCCACCAUCUCCCUUCUCAGAUAUGUUGGAGCAGAACCCAAAGGCAUCCAAGAUGUGAUUGCACCACUAAUUCACACCAGCGUAAUGACGAGCUCUGUUUCUUUCACUGUUUCUUUCUGAAAAUUUCCUAUCUUUCCACUUGCUGUUUUGACUGCUGCUGAGGGUUGAGCUGACAUUCUCAGAGAUCUAUCUGUUAUAAAUAACUUGAAGAGCUCAUUCCUGAGUGGUAACAGCCAGCUUAGAGCUCCAAAGACACCCGAUAUGGAAAAGGUUGGGUGAAACUCAGAGUUUUCUUAUUUUUAUCACACAAGGUGGGUUAUAGAUUAUCAGCAACAAGGAGAUAAACUUUCUUCUACUGGCCUUGCAGAAGCCACUGCAGAUCCAGCCUCUGUAUGGGACUUGUACUAGUGAAGGCUCCAACUGGCACAGUGCUGAUUUUCAGCCUACCAGUAUGUGCUUUUCUUAACAUUGUUCUCAGGGAUCUAAGAAGACAGUGAAGCCAUCAGGAUGGCAAAUCUGGGACAGGAGGCACCACAUACGAAACAGGACUGCCCCCCCUUCUUCUGGAUGAAUUAGCACCUUUAAGAGAAAGAAACGAGCCAAGCACCUUCCUUAAUGUCUCCAUACUGUCCCACAUCAGCAAACUCUCAGGCUUGUAUCCAAACAACAUCAUGACCAGCUUGAUGAUGGCGAUGAGGUUGUUCGAGCUCUGCUCAGGUAGAAUGAGGCAGCUCAUCAUCCACUGCCUCGAGUGGCCUUCACUGCCAACAAUUCAACUUCUAGCUGGUUUUACCAUGAAAGACCACACAGAAUACAUGAAAAGAAAGACCUAGGGUUGAGAACCACCCUUGUCAAACUGCAGGUAAAUGCUGAAAAGUAUGAAAAGUGUGUUUGCUUGAUUUGCAGAGCUCAUACUUAUUUCUGGUUUGACACCAGAAUGUCAACAGUUGAUGAAAUAAAGCAGAACCAAAUGACAAGAGUUUAAACAGCUGCCAAAUGCUGGGGGGAAUAUUAGUCUGUGUCCCCCUCUAGGAGGCCUUUGUCACCUUGGCCAAUCUGCCAACUCCAUGGGAGGUAAAAACAUGGUGGCAUCUAAUGCUUCCAGGCUGGCUCCCUAAAUUUCUCCAAGUUGUCUGCAAGCUCCUGAGCAAUUGCAUCAAAACGUUUGUGCUGGACUUGGGGUGUUGGGAGCAUCCAAGCAGCCCUGAAGAAGAAAUUUCUGUCAAGGCUGCAAAAAUGGCAGUAAAUUGGUAAAUACCCUUCAUACUCUUACUCUCAUCAGUCUCCCUGGUUCAUUGCUGCUACUUUCAGAAUGCUAAAGGAAGGUCCAUGCAAACUAGAGAAGAACAGACUCUUUUCACUGUUCUACAGAUCCUGGACCAGCAUUAACCACAAUCCUAAACCAGGUAUCGGUGUGCAGGCAUCCACGUUGCCUGCUGUUUUACUCCCAAACUGAACUCCUGUAUGCUACAACCACAGAGUAACGAUGUUGAAAACCAAUGAAAACACAGUCCCUCCCUCACUCCAGAAAACAGCUUGGCCAGUGGCAAGUGUCUUCAGGUAGGCAAAUCAGCCACCAUCACCCAAGACACACCUGUUCUCACUAGCUUGAGGCUUCUAUUGUGGCACAAACCUGGAGGAAAACAUUCUGAGCUGCCAUGAAAAGAACUGCAAUCCAAGUAUAGGUCCAGCCUAUGUUCAUCAGAAACAUAAAUGCUGCUGUGGCAAGCCUAGGAACCCCCUUGCUCCACUACCCAAAAAAACAUGCUCCACCAAUGCUCUGCUCCCUUUCUCAGAAUUACAGAAUCACAAUCUGAUUGAGGUUGGCAGUGAUGUCUAGAGGUCAUCUGGUCCAGCCCCCUGCUAAAGCAGGGCCACCUACUGCAGGUUGCCCAGGUCCAUGGCCAGGAAGAUUUAAGAUUUCUAAGGAGUGAUGUGGUGUCUAGACAUUCAGGUAUUUCCCUUCCUCCAACACUUGCUUUAUGAUUUGAAUUCUGAUUCUUCAGGCUUUUAAAACAGUACAAACAUUGGUGUCCUCCACCAUCUUCUGCCUCACACAGGUGAGUGUUUAUUAAUACUCAACACAGCAUCAAUGGGAUUCACCACUUAAGGAAAAGCUGAUGUAUCUAAAGCAAAUGUGUCUAAAGAAUCUGUAGAGCAGCCAAAUGCAAGUAGGCAUGGCACAAGGAAGCGAUUUUAACUAUGAAUUAACAUAUGCAAUGGAUUAGGAGUCAGGAUUCCCAUCUUCCCUGGUGCAUCAUCAUAGAGGAAUAGAGGCCUCCCCUCACUGCACAGGUGCAUGGUGCACAGUAAGAUCUGCUCUGAGAUCACUGCUGAUUUUGAGAGGACUGGGAGUGGUUCCAACUGCAGCUUCUUGCAAAACUGACUGAUCCCUCAGUUUGCAUACUUUAAUACCUACUGUACCUGAUUUUGCCAAGUGCUUUUACCACAGCAUUUGGAUAUCAACAACUCUCCUGUUGGGACUUCAAAAAGAAUCCUCAAGAAGCCACGCACCUUUCAUGCAGAAGGUAGGUCUGCUCCUGAAAAGCAGGUCUAAGUUUGUAGCUGUUGCAUGCAGGCACACCACAACCCUUCUCACUCUGCUGGGUGCCUGCUGUUGGAACACUGCAGAGUCGUGGGGCUGCAGAGAAAUUUGGGGGUCAAAUCAGCACAGCAAUAGCCAGGCUGCUGCAGAAAUCUCAACCAACAGAGUGUAUCAGCAGUCAUGCAAAGCUGUGCAUCAUUUUGGGCAGCAGUUUUCAUGUGGGGAAGACUUUGAUCACAGCAGAUGCCAGCUGAGAGUAGCUUUUCAUGUAAAUGUGCUAUUUAAGAAAUGUGCUACCUUGACAGGCCAAGAAUCCAAGCCUUGACUUUGAAAGCACAUCUGGAUUUCAUUGAGAUCUUUUCAGUACACUAAGCUACAUUUUACAUUUUAUUUGAAUCCAGGAACUGUUGAGCCAAAGAAACGUUUUGGAGAACUGUGCCCUUUUCCUGCUGAGAGGAGGGAAGAGCAUCUUAAUAGUUAGUGGAAAUUAUUUCUCUUGUUGACAACUAACAGGAAAACCCGACACCACCUGCUCCUUUUUGUCUAAUUAUCCUUAGAAAUUUGGAUCAUUUGCCUCCUUCAUGAAUGGAUAAUAAUGAUCAUUGAUGUGAACCCUUCAGCUUGUCAUGUUGUGUUAUUCUGUAUGAGAAACCAACCUGAACCAUCUCUUCAGUUAAAAGGUCUCAAAGUUUAUGGGGUUCCAAAACAAUUCCAUUUUGAAAAUGUGCUAUUUCAUACUUUUGACUAAAAGUCAAAUUUCCUACUGAAAAUGCAAGGAAGGAACCAGAUUGUUUGUCAAUUUUUAUUUUGGUGGAGUAUUUCUUUGUUCAGCCAGGGGAAACAUCUUGCCACAAGCUUUAGUUACUGCCUCAAAUUCAGUAUGGUAGGUCUGAAAUUCCCUAAAUGUCCCACAUUAGGCUGUGAUCACUCUUGCAUCUGAACUGACAGCUGUUUCAUUGCUGAGUUUGACUGGACUGGAAAUAGGCAAGGACAAAAUAGGAGUGAAUUGUGAAAUUAUUUUUUUGUUGGUGCUAUGAAAGUGGAAAAUAGAUAUUAUAUAUAUAAAAGCCAAACAUAAAAU